This is a long non-coding RNA of Saccostrea cuccullata (small rock oyster), 702 nucleotides long. RefSeq lists it as uncharacterized. The transcript is spliced from 3 exons. Lineage: Eukaryota; Metazoa; Mollusca; Bivalvia; Ostreida; Ostreidae. The record is from RefSeq and is a predicted model, not a curated record.
UCAUUUAAGGUAGAGACCGAUAGCAAUCACGUGAUAGAAAGAAUUCGCAUAUUUGCACGUGCUUUUUUUCCGGAUUCCGGAACGCCGUCAAAUAAAAGUCUCCAUUUACACAUUAUUGUCUAUGCUACAAGAUGGCCGACGAAGCGAUCGAGGUAUUUCCUCGACUUAAAAGACAAAGUUACCAUACGUAUUAAAUCUUUACGGUUCUCGAAAUUGAAGCAUCUUCAUGAGAAUCAAAAUAGAAGUGAGACUGAAGCCGAACAUGAACAUAAUUUUGGUGAAACUACUCCUUGUCCAGUGUCCAUUGCAGCACCACGUGGGUACACCGGUAUCGAUCUGUGCCUGAUGUUGUUUUCUGUAUAGACAUUUUAAAGACCAUGACCCUACAGAUGUUAAUUGGGAUGACGGAAGAAGUAAAUUUUUGCAGAACAGAUUUUUUGUAUGUCCGUGUCAGAUACAUAAGGUGAAGCAAGCUAUGAACUAGACAGUGUAGUUAGCUUUCUCUGCUGAAAUAAUGUGACCAAAUCAAGUGUCACCUGGAAAGAGGAAUGUCAAGGGUGCUUUUUACAUUAACUCCAAAAUAGCCAUUGGAAAGUUCAAGCCAGAUCUGCUACACCAGAAGUGGCAUACUUGUGUGUCAGGAAACGAGGAACAUGUAUGGCUAGACUGAGAAUCUAACCGGGGAUCCCUGCAUCACUACUU